AGCGUAGGCUGCACGGUAAGUCAGAUGUGAAAGCCCGGAGCUCAACCCCGGAACUGCAUCCGAUACUGCCGUGCUUGAGGACUGGAGAGGAGUCUGGAAUUCACAGUGGAGCAGUGAAAUGCGUAGAUAUUGUGAGGAACACUAGUAGCGAAGGCGAGACUCUGGACAGAUCCUGACGCUGAGGCUCGAAGGCCAGGGGAGCAAACG
RNAcentral lists this ribosomal RNA (207 nucleotides) under uncultured bacterium. RNAcentral describes it as "partial 16S ribosomal RNA". It matches the Rfam family "Bacterial small subunit ribosomal RNA", at positions 568 to 774 of the family's 1533-position model. The record is from RNAcentral.